This is a long non-coding RNA of Nyctereutes procyonoides (raccoon dog), 1489 nucleotides long. RefSeq lists it as uncharacterized. NCBI's taxonomy places the organism in Eukaryota, Metazoa, Chordata, Mammalia, Carnivora, Canidae. The transcript has 3 exons. The record is from RefSeq and is a predicted model, not a curated record.
GGAGGCAGCCGCACAACUGGAGGCAGCUGUCCGGGGAGCAGGGAAGAGGAUGUGGAGACCAUUAUCCCGGCCGACGGUCACACAGAGAGACAGAGAGAGAGAGGCAGAGGGAGAAGCAGGCUCCAUGCACCGGGAGCCCGACGUGGGAUUCGAUUCCGGGUCUCCAAGAUCGCGCCCUGGGCCAAAGGCAGGUGCCAAACUGCUGCUCCACCCAGGGAUCCCUGAUUUUUCUUUUAGAUGAGCCAGAUUUUCUCAUUACUUACCUUAUUAUUUAUUGAGAAUAAGGCAGACCCUUAAAAAAGCUGCUUUAACUCAUUCUGAUUUCAUCUAUUCAUGAGAGACACAGAGAAGAAGGGAGAGACAUAGACAGAGGGAGAAGAAGGCUCUACGCGGGGAACUCAAUCCCAGGACUCUGGAAUCAUGACCCAAGACAAAGGCAGAUGCUCAACCACUGAGCCACCUAGAUGCCCCAACAAAAUGAUUUCUAAGAGGACAGUUCCUUUAGAGCAAUACUGAAUGCAACACACUAUUAGAAAGAAAUUGGACACAUCAUAAGAGUGUGCUGUCUGAAAGAUGCUACUGCAUCAAGUGUGAUGCACAUCACAUGUGUGAUGUGCUGCAGCAAGCCUGGCCAUUCCUUUACUGUCAAAUCCCAUUUUAUUUUGUUUUUGGUUUUGUUUAUUUCUUGCCUGUAAAUACCACCUAAAUACAGUAAUGGAUCUCAACAUUUCUUUCUAAUUUUAAAACAUGUCAUUGAUCAUUGUUAUCAGUUGUUAACUUUAAUGUCCACUUUAACUGGGAUAUGUAUACAUGCACAUGGAUAUAUACUUUGAUUCCUAGUAGCUGUCCUCAUCCUACACCCUAGAUUUCUAAGACAAAUAAUUACUGUUCUAUAUCUUUUAGCAUUUGACACAUAAAGUUGGUUCAGUACAUUAUGUAAUGACACGGAUGGUGGUAAAAUUAAUUUUCCUUAAAAAUGACAGCUACCAAAACAACCACAAAAGCCUAUGUUUUAUAACUUGGAAUAUACUUUCUUUUCUAGAAAAUAUUACAAAAAUAUUUGUUUACUGCUGGCCUUCUGUGAAUUCUUUGAAACCCACAACAAUUCCUAUAGCAUUCCUUAUAACCAUCAACUUGACCAGCUUCGUUACAAUGCAGUCAGGUCAAAUUUAUGAGUUAAGGAUCAUAUCUACAUUAGUUACCCCUCUCUUUAGUUUUCCGGACACCUGCCAAAACACAAAGCAAACAACUACUAGAAGUCCUUUCUUGUCAUCAUGAUGUCUUUCUUCUCCUCUCUCCUCUUCCUAGCCAUUAGACCUCACAAUCCUUUCUGGUCUCUGUGUAGUUCUACUUCUUUUCCUACCCACCUCUUUCCUAGCACCCCUUCAGCACCAGUCUAAUCCAAAGAGCUAACGGGGAUUUUGCCACAUUCGUCUUUUUAAAAUAAGGAUAUAGAGAAUAGAGAAGAAAAAUUUGCUUUAGAGUGAGA